Molecule: unclassified non-coding RNA, 577 nt
Filed under: Botryotrichum piluliferum
Lineage: Eukaryota; Fungi; Ascomycota; Sordariomycetes; Sordariales; Chaetomiaceae
Description: sequence contains 18S rRNA gene, ITS1, 5.8S rRNA gene, ITS2, 28S rRNA gene
Rfam family: 5.8S ribosomal RNA (bases 217-370)
Source: RNAcentral
AGUCGUAACAAGGUCUCCGUUGGUGAACCAGCGGAGGGAUCAUUACAGAGUUGCAAAACUCCCUAAACCAUUGUGAACGUUACCUUCAAACCGUUGCUUCGGCGGGCGGCCCGGGUCCGCCCGGUGCCCCCUGGCCCCCUAGCGGGGCGCCCGCCGGAGGAAACCCAACUCUUGAUUAUUAUGGCCUCUCUGAGUCUUCUGUACUGAAUAAGUCAAAACUUUCAACAACGGAUCUCUUGGUUCUGGCAUCGAUGAAGAACGCAGCGAAAUGCGAUAAGUAAUGUGAAUUGCAGAAUUCAGUGAAUCAUCGAAUCUUUGAACGCACAUUGCGCCCGCCAGUAUUCUGGCGGGCAUGCCUGUUCGAGCGUCAUUUCAACCAUCAAGCCCCAGGCUUGUGUUGGGGACCUGCGGCUGCCGCAGGCCCUGAAAACCAGUGGCGGGCUCGCUGUCACACCGGGCGUAGUAGAUUUUAUCUCGCUCAGGGCGUGCUGCGGGUUCCGGCCGUUAAAAGCCUUUUUUACCCAAGGUUGACCUCGGAUCAGGUAGGAAUACCCGCUGAACUUAAGCAUAUCAAUAA